GGGCUCGAUGGUCAGGCCGAACAGGCGAUUCUUGUAAGGCCGCAAACGCGCGGGAAGUUCGAGUUUUUCCAGAUCCUC
RNAcentral lists this transfer RNA (78 nucleotides) under Dyella flava. RNAcentral describes it as "tRNA-Thr". The record is from RNAcentral. Lineage: Bacteria; Pseudomonadati; Pseudomonadota; Gammaproteobacteria; Lysobacterales; Rhodanobacteraceae.